AUUGAACGCUGGCGGCAGGCCUAACACAUGCAAGUCGAAUGGUAACAGGAAACAGCUUGCUGUUUCGCUGACGAGUGGCGGACGGGUGUGUAAUGUCUGGGAAACUGCCUGAUGGAGGGGGAUAACUACUGGAAACGGUAGCUAAUACCGCAUAACGUCGCAAGACCAAAGAGGUGGACCUUCGGGCCUCUUGCCACCAGAUGUGCCCAGAUGGGAUUGGCUAGUAGGUGGGGUAACGGCUCACCUAGGCGACGAUCCCUAGCUGGUCUGAGAGGAUGACCGGCCACACGGGAACUGGACCACGCUCCGAACUCCUAGGGAAGGAGCCAGAGGGGAACAUUGGACAUGGGGGGAAAGCCGAACGCAGAAAGGCCGGUGAGAUGAAGAAGGCCUUCGGUUGGUAAAGUACUUUCUGCGGGGAGGAAGGGAGUAAGGGUAAAAACUUCACUCAGUGACGUUACCCGAAGAGGAAGCACCGGCUAACUACGUG
RNAcentral lists this ribosomal RNA (490 nucleotides) under uncultured bacterium. RNAcentral's name for it is "partial 16S ribosomal RNA". It matches the Rfam family "Bacterial small subunit ribosomal RNA", at positions 29 to 507 of the family's 1533-position model. The record is from RNAcentral.